CCUACGGGAGGCAGCAGUGAGGAAUAUUGGUCAAUGGCCGAGAGGCUGAACCAGCCAAGUCGCGUGAGGGAAGACGGCCCUACGGGUUGUAAACCUCUUUUGUCGGGGAGCAAAGCGAACCACGUGUGGUUCAUUGAGCGUACCCGAAGAAAACGCAUCGGCUAACUCCGUGCCAGCAGCCGCGGUAAUACGGAGGAUGCAAGCGUUAUCCGGAUUUACUGGGUGUAAAGGGGGCGCAGACGGCAGCGCAAGCCAGGAGUGAAAGCCCGGGGCCCAACCCCGGGACUGAUCUUGGAACUGGGCGGCUGGAGUGCAGGAGGGGCAGGCGGAAUUCCUGGUGUAGCGGUGAAAUGCGUAGAUAUCAGGAGGAACACCGGUGGCGAAGGCGGCCUGCUGGACUGCGACUGACGUUGAGGCCCGAAAGCGUGGGGAGCAAACAGGAUUAGAUACCCUUGUAGUC
RNAcentral lists this ribosomal RNA (460 nucleotides) under uncultured bacterium. RNAcentral's name for it is "partial 16S ribosomal RNA". It matches the Rfam family "Bacterial small subunit ribosomal RNA", at positions 338 to 795 of the family's 1533-position model. The record is from RNAcentral.